UACAGAGGUCUCAAGCGUUGUUCGGAUUCAUUGGGCGUAAAGGGUGCGUAGGUGGCGUGGUAAGUCGGGGGUGAAAUUUCGGAGCUUAACUCCGAAACUGCAUUCGAUACUGCCGUGCUUGAGGACUGGAGAGGAGACUGGAGUUUACGGUGUAGCAGUGAAAUGCGUAGAGAUCGUAAGGAAGACCAGUGGCGAAGGCGGGUCUCUGGACAGUUCCUGACACUGAGGCACGAAGGCCAGGGGAGCAAACGGG
RNAcentral lists this ribosomal RNA (253 nucleotides) under uncultured bacterium. Its description in RNAcentral is "partial 16S ribosomal RNA". It matches the Rfam family "Bacterial small subunit ribosomal RNA", at positions 524 to 776 of the family's 1533-position model. The record is from RNAcentral.